AAGAAUAUACUUCCAGGGAUCAUUUCUAUAGGUUUUGACGUGAGAAAUGUGUUUCUAAAGUGUCUGGUUACAUUAUCUGCAAUGAUGAGUUGUGAUACUUCUUUCUGUGUGUGGAGCGUGCAGAGAGAAAUGAUUCAGUUCAUAUGCCCUCUGUCAUUGAGGAUUGUUCCUUUGGAACUUUAAGAAAAGUAGUAUGAUCAGGUUGGU
RNAcentral lists this small nucleolar RNA (207 nucleotides) under Gouania willdenowi (blunt-snouted clingfish). RNAcentral's name for it is "Small nucleolar RNA U3 (ENSGWIG00000002850.1)". It matches the Rfam family "Small nucleolar RNA U3". From Rfam's summary of the family: Small nucleolar RNAs (snoRNAs) are involved in the processing and modification of rRNA in the nucleolus. There are two main classes of snoRNAs: the box C/D class, and the box H/ACA class. Lineage: Eukaryota; Metazoa; Chordata; Actinopteri; Blenniiformes; Gobiesocidae. The record is from Rfam by way of RNAcentral.